Molecule: ribosomal RNA, 480 nt
Filed under: uncultured Gammaproteobacteria bacterium
Lineage: Bacteria; Pseudomonadati; Pseudomonadota; Gammaproteobacteria
Description: bacterial SSU rRNA
Rfam family: Bacterial small subunit ribosomal RNA
Source: RNAcentral
AUUGAACGCUGGCGGCAGGCCUAACACAUGCAAGUCGAGCGGUAACAGUCCUUCGGGAGCUGACGAGCGGCGGACGGGUGAGUAACGCGUAGGGAUCUACCGAUUGGUGGGGGAUAGCCCGAGGAAACUCGGAUUAAUACCGCAUAAGAUCUUCGGAUGAAAGUGGGGGCUCUUCGGACCUCACGCCAAUCGAUGAACCUGCGUUGGAUUAGCUAGUUGGUUAGGUAAAGGCUGACCAAGGCGACGAUCCAUAGCUGGUCUGAGAGGAUGAUCAGCCACACUGGGACUGAGACACGGCCCAGACUCCUACGGGAGGCAGCAGUGGGGAAUAUUGGACAAUGGGGGAAACCCUGAUCCAGCCAUGCCGCGUGUGUGAAGAAGGCUCUAGGGUUGUAAAGCACUUUCAGUGGUGAGGAAGGGUUUGUAGUUAAUAUCUACAAGCAUUGACGUUAACCACAGAAGAAGCACCGGCUAACUCCG